AGGAUGAACGCUGGCGGCGUGCUUAACACAUGCAAGUCGAACGGUGAAGUGAGGAGCUUGCUCCUUGCGGAUCAGUGGCGAACGGGUGAGUAACACGUGAGCAACCUGCCCUUGGCUCUGGGAUAGCCUCCGGAAACGGGGAUUAAUACCGGACAUGACCUUGGUCUGCAUGGACUGAGGUGGAAAGUUUUUCGGCCAGGGAUGGGCUCGCGGCCUAUCAGCUUGUUGGGGGGGUAACGCCCACCAAGGCGACGACGGGUA
RNAcentral lists this ribosomal RNA (261 nucleotides) under uncultured bacterium. Its description in RNAcentral is "partial small subunit ribosomal RNA". It matches the Rfam family "Bacterial small subunit ribosomal RNA", at positions 26 to 285 of the family's 1533-position model. The record is from RNAcentral.